AUUGAACGCUGGCGGCAUGCCUUACACAUGCAAGUCGAACGGCAGCGCGGACUUCGGUCUGGCGGCGAGUGGCGAACGGGUGAGUAAUACAUCGGAACGUACCCUGGUGUGGGGGAUAACUAGUCGAAAGAUUAGCUAAUACCGCAUACGACCUGAGGGUGAAAGUGGGGGAUCGCAAGGCCUCACGCAGCAGGAGCGGCCGAUGUCUGAUUAGCUAGUUGGUGGGGUAAAGGCCCACCAAGGCGACGAUCAGUAGCUGGUCUGAGAGGACGAUCAGCCACACUGGGACUGAGACACGGCCCAGACUCCUACGGGAGGCAGCAGUGGGGAAUUUUGGACAAUGGGGACAACCCUGAUCCAGCAAUGCCGCGUGUGUGAAGAAGGCCUUCGGGUUGUAAAGCACUUUUGUCCGGAAAGAAAUCUCGCUGGUUAAUACCUGGCGUGGAUGACGGUACCGGAAGAAUAAGCACCGGCUAACUACGUG
This 484-nucleotide ribosomal RNA is filed under the name uncultured bacterium. RNAcentral's name for it is "partial 16S ribosomal RNA". It matches the Rfam family "Bacterial small subunit ribosomal RNA", at positions 30 to 507 of the family's 1533-position model. The record is from RNAcentral.